AGGGGACACCGAGUGCCAGCAUCAUAUGCUGGCUGUCCGGAUGUGUAAAAUACAUCCGUUAGCAAGGGCCGGGCAAGACCGGUGCCAGCCGCCGCGGUAACACCGGCGGCCCGAGUGGUGAUCGUGAUUAUUGGGUCUAAAGGGUCCGUAGCCGGUUUGGUCAGUCCUCCGGGAAAUCUGAUAGCUCAACUAUUAGGCUUUCGGGGGAUACUGCCAGACUUGGAACCGGGAGAGGUAAGAGGUACUACAGGGGUAGGAGUGAAAUCUUGUAAUCCCUGUGGGACCACCUGUGGCGAAGGCGUCUUACCAGAACGGGUUCGACGGUGAGGGACGAAAGCUGGGGGCACGAACCGGAUUAGAUACCCGGGUAGUCCCAGCCGUAAACGAUGCUCGCUAGGUGUCAGGCAUGGCGCGACCGUGUCUGGUGCCGCAGGGAAGCCGUGAAGCGAGCCACCUGGGAAGUACGGCCGCAAGGCUGAAACUUAAAGGAAUUGGCGGGGGAGCACAACAACGGGUGGAGCCUGCGGUUUAAUUGGACUCAACGCCGGACAACUCACCGGGGGCGACAGCAAUAUGUAGGCCAAGCUGAAGACUUUGCCUGAAUCGCUGAGAGGAGGUGCAUGGCCGUCGCCAGUUCGUACUGUGAAGCAUCCUGUUAAGUCAGGCAACGAGCGAGACCCGUGCCCACUGUUACCAGCAUGUCCUCCGGGACGAUGGGUACUCUGUGGGGACCGCCGAUGUUAAAUCGGAGGAAGGUGCGGGCCACGGUAGGUCAGUAUGCCCCGAAUCUCCCGGGCUACACGCGGG
Molecule: ribosomal RNA, 807 nt
Filed under: uncultured archaeon
Lineage: Archaea
Description: bacterial SSU rRNA
Rfam family: Archaeal small subunit ribosomal RNA
Source: RNAcentral